This 274-nucleotide long non-coding RNA is filed under the name Setaria viridis. Its description in RNAcentral is "long non-coding RNA (SVIR_LNC000553)". Lineage: Eukaryota; Viridiplantae; Streptophyta; Magnoliopsida; Poales; Poaceae. The record is from RNAcentral.
GCAAGUAGAACUUUCUAGGCUUUGUCCAAUAUUCUGUUUGUCUUCAAUGUUGCUCACAGUUAUCGAGUUGUUUGAUUUUAUUAAGUUGCAUUGUAUCGAUCUCUUAGUUUUAUCAAGGGCUCACAAAUAUCGAAUGGCUUAGAUCUGAUUAUGUUGUCUUUACCGGCUUCUUAAUCUUGUCUAAGCAUUCAUCAGUUAUCUGAUCGUAUCGACUAGUUAGAUCUUGUAUGCUCGUCUUGUUUUACAUAUGCUAGAUCCGAUAGAUCUUUAUUCC